ACAAGCAAAAGCUGCCGGCUACUCCAUUUAUUUACUUCCUCGUUCCUGUCCUCACUUCCUUUAAUGUCCGUGCGUGCAGUGCCAGGGUUGUGUCUGUUUUCCCAUCGUGUGUGCUCCUUUCAGCUGCCCACUGAAGGCGUGCAGGAGCAUGGCUGCAUCAGUACCUGCUGGGCUGCAGUGGGGGACCCUAGAGCAGAGGAAAGACGCUGGAGAGAACCUGUAUCACCUGAUAUACCUGUGGAAGGUGCAGCAGCUGCCCCCAGAUGUUCACAGGUUCUGUGACCCCCAGCUACCUGCCCCCCGCAGGAAGGAGCUGCUGCACCUGCUGAGGAGCUUGGAGGAUGAGUCCAGUUGUCAGCGCUUGCAGAUCCUGUUCUCUUUCUCUGUGCCCAGUCCACAAGUGCUGGACCUGCUGUGUGCCCAGCACUUGCCCCUGGUGUCUGCAGGAGCUGGCACAGGGUACUGGGAAUUCUUACUACAAUGCCGUGGACUUGAUGUAGUGGUUUUUGACCAGAACAGCAUUUUCCCACCUGAGAUGCGUUAUACGGAGGUGAUGGGCACUGGUGCAUCCUCUGAACAUACAACUUGUUAUAUCUAGACUGGAGGUCCAGAACUUUUGGAGAACUAUCCAGAUAGAGCCCUGUUCCUGGCCUGGCCUGAUGCAGAUGACUCUUCCCACUUCUCUCUGGAUUGUCUGAUUUUCUUCAGGGGCCAAACUCUUUUCCACGUGGGUGAAUUGCUUGGCGAAACGCUGUCAUCCAACCCCUGGGGACAGUCCACCUCUCGUGAAUUCCAACUCGCUCUGGCCGAAGACUUCUGCUGUGUGAAGAGGAUCCGGCUGCCCAGGUGGCCAGGACAUGUAGACUCAUUCAGUGUGUGGAAGAGAAAGAAUCCACAGUUUGUCCUCUGUGAUGGGGCACAUUUCCAGUAUGUGGAGACACAGUUGGAAGAAGACGAAUAACCACAAUGUUUUGUCUACAAAGAGUCACAAUCUAGAGUCAAGACAUCUUCCAUGGUGGUGGCAGAAUGUGACUAGGUCUUCGCUUAAGCAGUGUUCUACCUACUCUACCUCCAUCAAUUCCUGCAAAAAUCUUCCAUCGCCGCCAGUGCUUGUUCUAUUAUGAAUGUAGUUCUUAUUCCAGUGCUGCAAGAGAACCAGAAGCUUAAUAGGUGGCUUCAGUUAUGGAAGGGUAGAAAUGUGCUCUUCCAUUUGGAAAUUCAGAUUCUUCGGUCUUAUAGACGGUUAUCAUGUAAAUGAAUAGAUCCCUAUGGGAAAGGUGCUUUCAUCCACAUUGAACAUCAUAGAUAGUCAUACAGUGUUUUUAUGUACUUCAGUUAAUGAUCAGUGAGGGGGCAGCUUGUAUUGGGGGUGGUUGUCCUAAAGUGGGCAGCCCUUUAAGGUAUCGGUCAGAAAUGCAAACACCAAAUGCUUUAUGUAAAUGUGAGUUCUCCGUUGUGACAGUUUAUAAAAGAAAGAUACAGUAAAUAUAUGACUUGCUGAA
This is an RNA transcript of Pseudophryne corroboree (corroboree frog), 1502 nucleotides long. RefSeq lists it as uncharacterized. Lineage: Eukaryota; Metazoa; Chordata; Amphibia; Anura; Myobatrachidae. The transcript has 4 exons. The record is from RefSeq and is a predicted model, not a curated record.